ACAUGGACAUGAGGUCCCAGGCUCUCCUCCUCUUUUUCCUGUUGCUGUGGAUCUCAGAUGCCCGAGGGGCCAUUGGGCUAAUCCAGUCGCCAGCCUCCCUGUCUGUGUCUCCAGGAGAGAGAGUGACCAUGUCCUGCAGGGCCAGUCAGGGCAUUAACAAUAAUCUGCACUGGUUCCAACAGAAAGCAAGCCAGGCUCCUAGGCUCAUCAUUAAAUAUGCUUCCACCCUGCAUGAUGGGGUCCCAUCGAGGUUCAGUGGCAGUGGCUCUGGGACAGAUUUCUCCCUCACAAUCAGCAAUGUGGAGGCUGAGGAAGCUGCAGUCUAUUACUGUCAGCAGAGGCAAAACUGGCCUCCCACAGUGCUACAGCUCUGAACAACAACCUGCCCAGGCAGC
Non-coding RNA from Vombatus ursinus (common wombat), 395 nucleotides. Lineage: Eukaryota; Metazoa; Chordata; Mammalia; Diprotodontia; Vombatidae. The record is from the annotation of a RefSeq genome assembly.